UGUGCGUCAGGGUUCAAUACUUGACUUUCAGUUGUGCCGUAGUUGCUGUUUCUGUGGAGCUUAAAAUUGGAUGAGCACACGUCAGAACUCCA
Sinocyclocheilus rhinocerous is the source of this 92-nucleotide long non-coding RNA. RefSeq lists it as uncharacterized. The transcript is spliced from 3 exons. Lineage: Eukaryota; Metazoa; Chordata; Actinopteri; Cypriniformes; Cyprinidae. The record is from RefSeq and is a predicted model, not a curated record.